Long non-coding RNA from Contarinia nasturtii (swede midge), 710 nucleotides. RefSeq lists it as uncharacterized. The record is from RefSeq and is a predicted model, not a curated record. The transcript is spliced from 3 exons. NCBI's taxonomy places the organism in Eukaryota, Metazoa, Arthropoda, Insecta, Diptera, Cecidomyiidae.
GCAUAUACUUCUUCUCUUUGUUCUCUUUUGCGUGUUGCUGAAGAUGACACAUAAACUUUGUCAAAAUGCAAACAAAAGUUUUUUAGAAGUUCAUCAAAUAAAUUUCUUCAUAUUGUGAACUCAACUUAAGAAUUAGUAGUAUGGAUACGAGCGCUGGAUUAUUUCACAAAUCUGAGGUUUUAUUUGAUUUAGCGCCAACACCAUAGCUUCAUUCAUCUGAUACGCGUGGAUGUGAUGUGUUGCCAUAUUGUAUCAUUCUAUGUGGUUGUUUUUAAAAACAAGUGUAAUGAAAAUCGACCAAAAAAAAUAAUAAUCAUAAUAAUUUUGCUGAUUUAAACACUCGAAUGUGCGACCAUACAUCAAUAAUGUAUGAACUGUAAUAAAUGUGUGCGAUCACACAUCAAAUUGCUGCUGGUUUUGGUUGUGAAUGAAGACAGUUCAGAAUGAAGACAUUAGGUUUGGUGAUAACGCUAUUUUCUAAGCCUGGAACUCAUGUGCAGCGAUGCAAUGUAAAUUAAAAAAUAAAAUAAAAACAAAAAAAAAACGAUAACGUCAACAGAACAAUCUAAAGCAAACGUUAUCAUCGAGCAAAAUCAAAGAAAGAAAACACAGAAGCGAAUUUAAUGAACUUGACAAACUUCAAUAAUAUGCUUUAUUGUUUUUUUUUUGUUGUUGUUGUUGUUUUUGUAAACUAUUCAUUUAUCAUAAUU